This 880-nucleotide ribosomal RNA is filed under the name uncultured archaeon. RNAcentral's name for it is "bacterial SSU rRNA". It matches the Rfam family "Archaeal small subunit ribosomal RNA", at positions 59 to 923 of the family's 1478-position model. The record is from RNAcentral.
CGAACAGAACUAUGUCUGUAAGUGGCAUACUGCUCAGUAACACGUAGCUAACCUAACCUUAGGACGUCGAUAACCCCGAGAAAUUGGGGCUAAUAAGCGAUAGAUGUAAUGUCCUGGAAUGGUAUUACGUCCAAAAGUAUCUCAUACACGUUUGAGUUACGCCUAAGGAUGGGGCUGCGGCCGAUCAGGCAGUUGGUGAGGUAAUGGCUCACCAAACCUUUGACCGGUACGGGCCAUGAGAGUGGUAGCCCGGAGAUGGACACUGAGACAAGGGUCCAGGCCCUACGGGGCGCAGCAGGCGCGAAACCUCCUCAAUGCACUAACGUGCGAAGGGGUUACCUCGAGUGCUACCUGAAGAAGGUGGCUUUUCCUUGGUCUAAAAAGCCUCGGGGAUAAGAGGGGGGCAAGACUGGUGUCAGCCGCCGCGGUAACACCAGCCCCUCGAGUGGUGGGGAUGAUUAUUUGGCCUAAAGCGUCCGUAGCCGGCCGGGUAAGUUUCCCGUUAAAUCCAGCGUCUCAAGCGUUGGGCUGCGGGAAAUACUGUCCGGCUAGAGAGUGGGAGAGGUGUACGGUAUUCUGGGGGUAGGGGCGAAAUCCUUUGAUCCCCGGAGGACCACCAGUGGCGAAGGCUGUACACUAGAACACGUCUGACGGUCAGGGACGAAAGCUGGGGUAGCGAACCGGAUUAGAUACCCGGGUAGUCCCAGCUGUAAACGAUGCAUGCUAGGUGUUGGGUUGGCCACGAGCCACCCCAGUGCCGCAGGGAAGCCGUUAAGCAUGCCGCCUGGGAAGUACGAUCGCAAGAUUGAAACUUAAAGGAAUUGGCGGGGGAGCACCACCAGGCGUGAAGCCUGCGGUUUAAUUGGAGUCAACGCCAGAA